AUGAACGCCAUGUGGACACUCUUUGAUAUGUUCUGGCACAAAGAGCCAGACAUCAAGUACUACAUGUGCACAAUCAACAAAACAUUUGCCAAGCCGGGCCAGUAUUUUCAGGUACACUAUACUAAAGAGAACCUGCUGGACUACAUUGAUCCACACAAUGAUACACUCAUGGUCAGACUUGCAAAUGGCCAUCUGCCGCCGAAUGUCGCAUUAUGCUAG
RNAcentral lists this ribosomal RNA (219 nucleotides) under Triticum aestivum (bread wheat). RNAcentral's name for it is "partial small subunit ribosomal RNA". Lineage: Eukaryota; Viridiplantae; Streptophyta; Magnoliopsida; Poales; Poaceae. The record is from RNAcentral.